GCGGAUGGCCGGGUGAUCGCGUGGGGGACUUCGGUCCCUCGCGAGGAAAGUCCGGACUCCGGAAAGCGACGGUGCCGGGUAACGCCCGGACGGGGCAACCCGAUGGACAGCGCCACAGAGAACAGACCGCCCUUCAUGUAGGGGUAAGGGUGAAACGGUGGGGUAAGAGCUCACCGCGGGGCUGGCAACAGCGCCGGCAUGGCAAGCCCCACCGGGAGCAAUGCCGAAUAGGGAACCCACGGCUGCUUUCGCCAGGGUUCCGGGUAGGCAGCUAGAGCCUGUCGGCAACGGCAGGCGCAGAGGAAUGAUCACCCCCUGACCUUCGGGUCGGGGACAGAAUCCGGCUUACAGGCCAUCCGCGCAU
Molecule: RNase P RNA, 364 nt
Filed under: Rhodobacteraceae bacterium THAF1
Lineage: Bacteria; Pseudomonadati; Pseudomonadota; Alphaproteobacteria; Rhodobacterales; Paracoccaceae
Also listed under: 1 other name
Description: Bacterial RNase P class A
Rfam family: Bacterial RNase P class A
About the family: Ribonuclease P (RNase P) is a ubiquitous endoribonuclease, found in archaea, bacteria and eukarya as well as chloroplasts and mitochondria.
Source: Rfam by way of RNAcentral